AUCUGAAUCAAAUGCUGCUGCUGUAGUUGGUGAUAGUUAUUUUGCAUCAGCUGAGCCUUCCCAAGUUGGAAGUGAGAAUGACGGUAUUUUUGCAAUGUUGGCUAACAUCUUAGAGGAAAGCCCAUCCAUUCAAAGUCAAAAUGACAUGAAUGAAGUUCAUGAUAUCAAUCAUGGUGGAAACAAUGCAGUUAAUCCCAAUUCAAAUGGAAUCGAUAUUUAUGAUGGUUUAGGAGAUCUGGGCAACCUGACUAGAAUUGAUGAAGGUGCAUAUAGUACACUUGAUUAUACAGGUCCAGCCAUGGACCAAAUGCUUGGGAGCGAUGAUAUGCAAUAUUUGGAGCUGAUGGAUCUUGAUGCGCCUUUAGAUCGCUCCACUGAACCUGGUGGAUA
This 390-nucleotide unclassified non-coding RNA is filed under the name Hevea brasiliensis (rubber tree). The record is from RNAcentral. Lineage: Eukaryota; Viridiplantae; Streptophyta; Magnoliopsida; Malpighiales; Euphorbiaceae.